Molecule: ribosomal RNA, 694 nt
Filed under: Pseudomonas aeruginosa
Lineage: Bacteria; Pseudomonadati; Pseudomonadota; Gammaproteobacteria; Pseudomonadales; Pseudomonadaceae
Description: bacterial SSU rRNA
Rfam family: Bacterial small subunit ribosomal RNA
Source: RNAcentral
GGCGGACGGGUGAGUAAUGCCUAGGAAUCUGCCUGGUAGUGGGGGAUAACGUCCGGAAACGGGCGCUAAUACCGCAUACGUCCUGAGGGAGAAAGUGGGGGAUCUUCGGACCUCACGCUAUCAGAUGAGCCUAGGUCGGAUUAGCUAGUUGGUGGGGUAAAGGCCUACCAAGGCGACGAUCCGUAACUGGUCUGAGAGGAUGAUCAGUCACACUGGAACUGAGACACGGUCCAGACUCCUACGGGAGGCAGCAGUGGGGAAUAUUGGACAAUGGGCGAAAGCCUGAUCCAGCCAUGCCGCGUGUGUGAAGAAGGUCUUCGGAUUGUAAAGCACUUUAAGUUGGGAGGAAGGGCAGUAAGUUAAUACCUUGCUGUUUUGACGUUACCAACAGAAUAAGCACCGGCUAACUUCGUGCCAGCAGCCGCGGUAAUACGAAGGGUGCAAGCGUUAAUCGGAAUUACUGGGCGUAAAGCGCGCGUAGGUGGUUCAGCAAGUUGGAUGUGAAAUCCCCGGGCUCAACCUGGGAACUGCAUCCAAAACUACUGAGCUAGAGUACGGUAGAGGGUGGUGGAAUUUCCUGUGUAGCGGUGAAAUGCGUAGAUAUAGGAAGGAACACCAGUGGCGAAGGCGACCACCUGGACUGAUACUGACACUGAGGUGCGAAAGCGUGGGGAGCAAACAGGAUUAGAUACCC